GACGAACGCUGGCGGCGUGCCUAACACAUGCAAGUCGAGCGGGGACUUGGGUGCUUGCACCUGGGUUCUAGCGGCGGACGGGUGAGUAACGCGUGAGCAACCUGCCUCAAACUGGGGGAUAACGCAUCGAAAGAUGUGCUAAUACCGCGUAAGACCACGCUACCACAUGGUAGAGGGGUCAAAGGAGCAAUCCGGUUUGAGAUGGGCUCGCGUCCGAUUAGCUAGUUGGCGGGAUAACAGCCCACCAAGGCGACGAUCGGUAGCCGACCUGAGAGGGUGAUCGGCCACAUUGGAACUGAGAUACGGUCCAGACUCCUACGGGAGGCAGCAGUGGGGAAUAUUGGGCAAUGGGCGAAAGCCUGACCCAGCAACGCCGCGUGAGGGAAGAAGGGUUUCGGCUCGGUAAACCUCUGUCCUAUGGGACGAAGGAAGUGACGGUACCAUAGGAGGAAGCCCCGGCUAACUACGUG
Molecule: ribosomal RNA, 470 nt
Filed under: uncultured bacterium
Lineage: Bacteria
Description: bacterial SSU rRNA
Rfam family: Bacterial small subunit ribosomal RNA
Source: RNAcentral